UGGGGGCUAUCUCCUGUUCAUCACUGUGAGCUAGGAAGAUAUAGUGGCAUGCACAUCACAUUUGCAACCAGAUUACCUAGGUUCAAAUUCUGCCUCCACAAUUUACUAGCUACAGACCUUGUGUGAAGUUGUUGCUAAAAGACAGCUUCUCAACCACGAGUUCCAUUUUCCAGUCCUUCUUGCACCCAGAGGCAGCCAAAGACAAAAUUUUGCCACUGAGAUGGGAACAGAGUGAAGUGUGUCACUCCCAAGACUGGGUCCCUGAGUCAUCAUAUGGAGAAAAACCACCCCUUGACCAGGAAUGUCCUUGUUGGACUGUUAAGUAAGGGGAAACAAAAUUUGACCGUAUUCAACUCCUGAAAUUUUAGGGUAAGUUUGUUACAAUAUCUAGUAUUAUUAUACUAACUAGUACAACUUUAAAGUGUUGUGAAAAUUGAAUGAGUGGGUUAUACAUUGUCUCCUCAAAGUGGUUGCUGGCUGAACAUAAAUGUGUGCAGAGUUUUGAAUCCUUUAAAUCAGUCUCACGAGAUUUUGAUCCCUUUUCUUGUCUCACCUUUCCAGAGGGGAUGGUUUUUACUGUACUGAAUAUAUAUUUCUUGGAAGGUUAGUGGCUAAAGGAAGAGGAAUAUUGGGCCCCUAGGACCUUACAGACUUGUAUUACCAAAAAAAAAAAAAAAAA
Long non-coding RNA from Pteropus alecto (black flying fox), 679 nucleotides. RefSeq lists it as uncharacterized. The transcript has 2 exons. NCBI's taxonomy places the organism in Eukaryota, Metazoa, Chordata, Mammalia, Chiroptera, Pteropodidae. The record is from RefSeq and is a predicted model, not a curated record.